UUGGUGGGGUGAUGGCCUACCAAGGCGACGACGGGUAGCCGGCCUGAGAGGGUGUCCGGCCACACUGGGACUGAGAUACGGCCCAGACUCCUACGGGAGGCAGCAGUGGGGAAUAUUGCACAAUGGGCGCAAGCCUGAUGCAGCGACGCCGCGUGGGGGAUGACGGCCUUCGGGUUGUAAACCUCUUUCACCAUCGGCGAAGCCGGGGGCUUUUGUUUUCGGUGACGGUAGGUGGAGAAGAAGCACCGGCCAACUACGUGCCAGCAGCCGCGGUAAUACGUAGGGUGCGAGCGUUGUCCGGAAUUACUGGGCGUAAAGAGCUCGUAGGUGGUUUGUCGCGUUGUUCGUGAAAUUCCCUGGCUUAACUGGGGGCGUGCGGGCGAUACGGGCAGACUGGAGUACUGCAGGGGAGACUGGAAUUCCUGGUGUAGCGGUGGAAUGCGCAGAUAUCAGGAGGAACACCGGUGGCGAAGGCGGGUCUCUGGGCAGUAACUGACGCUGAGGAGCGAAAGCGUGGGGAGCGAACAGGAUUAGAUACCCUGGUAGUCCACGCCGUAAACGGUGGGUACUAGGUGUGGGUUUCCUUCCUUGGGAUCCGUGCCGUAGCUAACGCAUUAAGUACCCCGCCUGGGGAGUACGG
Molecule: ribosomal RNA, 640 nt
Filed under: uncultured bacterium
Lineage: Bacteria
Description: bacterial SSU rRNA
Rfam family: Bacterial small subunit ribosomal RNA
Source: RNAcentral